This 283-nucleotide long non-coding RNA is filed under the name Lathyrus oleraceus (garden pea). Its description in RNAcentral is "Pisum sativum (pea) long non-coding RNA (PSAT_LNC030389)". Lineage: Eukaryota; Viridiplantae; Streptophyta; Magnoliopsida; Fabales; Fabaceae. The record is from RNAcentral.
GUUCAGUGCCAGAUACCUCUGAACCAACCAAUAGUGGGUACUGCUUUUCUUUUUCUUUUUCUUUUUCUUUUUGUAGCAACUUUUUACAAUUCUUUGGUUUAAAUGACUUUAUGAGGGUCACCUAUACCGGAGUUUCCUUUUUGCUUUCUUUUACUUUUUUGUUUUUCUGGAUCAUUCACUUAUUUGCAUCGGUCCCCUACGUAGAGGAUGCGUAGGCCGGAGCUGACUGCUAGAUAAACUACUGAGGACUUAUACGGAAAUGAUGAUUAAGGCCAUGGUAUAU